UAGGGAAUCUUCCGCAAUGGACGAAAGUCUGACGGAGCAACGCCGCGUGAGUGAGGAAGGCCUUCGGGUCGUAAAGCUCUGUUGCCAGGGAAGAACGGCUGUGAGAGUAACUGCUCAUGGUUUGACGGUACCUGAGAAGAAAGCCCCGGCUAACUACGUGCCAGCAGCCGCGGUAAUACGUAGGGGGCAAGCGUUGUCCGGAAUUAUUGGGCGUAAAGCGCGCGCAGGCGGCUUUGUAAGUCUGUUGUUUAACCCAUGGGCUCAACCUGUGGUCGCAAUGGAAACUGCAAGGCUUGAGUGCAGAAGAGGAAAGUGGAAUUCCACGUGUAGCGGUGAAAUGCGUAGAGAUGUGGAGGAACACCAGUGGCGAAGGCGACUUUCUGGGCUGUAACUGACGCUGAGGCGCGAAAGCGUGGGGAGCAAACAGGAUUAGAUACCCCCGUAGUCC
This 448-nucleotide ribosomal RNA is filed under the name uncultured bacterium. Its description in RNAcentral is "bacterial SSU rRNA". It matches the Rfam family "Bacterial small subunit ribosomal RNA", at positions 355 to 796 of the family's 1533-position model. The record is from RNAcentral.